RNAcentral lists this ribosomal RNA (366 nucleotides) under uncultured eukaryote. RNAcentral's name for it is "partial 18S ribosomal RNA". It matches the Rfam family "Eukaryotic small subunit ribosomal RNA", at positions 592 to 975 of the family's 1831-position model. The record is from RNAcentral.
CAAUAGCGUGCGCAAAAGUUGUUGCAGUUAAAAAGCUCGUAGUUGAAAUUCUGGUUGGGCACAGGCGCGGCUUAUGUCAGUCUGGAGUCCAAUCAUCCGUCUGCAAACCUAUUUCGGACUUAAUUGUUUCGGGUAGGAGAGCAGACAAUUUACCUUGAAAAAAUUAGAGUGUUUCAGGCAGGUAAUAGCCGGAAUACAUUAGCAUGGAAUAAUGGAACAGGACCUAAAUCCUUUGUUGGUUCAAGGAGUUGGGUAAUGAUUAAUAGGAACAGUUGGGGGCAUUAGUAUUUAAUUGCUAGAGGUGAAAUUCUUGGAUUUAUUAAAGACUAACUUAUGCGAAAGCAUUUGCCAAGGAUGUUUUCAUUA